AUCGCCCCCGCAAUCGAAAGAUUGACGGAUGCACCAAUUUAAUUGGAAACGCGAGGAUAUGUUUAUCCGAGAUUCUCUCUUCCUCUUUCUCUCUCUUUCUCUCUCUCUCUCUCUCUCUCUCUCUCUCUCUCUCUCUCUCUCUCGCUCUCUGUCUCUCUCUCGCUCUCGCUCUCGCUCGCGCGCGCGCGUCCGCGAAACCGUCGGUCUCGUGACGCAAUUUUCACGAUGACGGGACGAUUCGUUUCUUCGUUGCCUCUUCGUGUCCUCAUUAAAAAAAAAAAAAAAAAAGAGGGGAAGCGAUGUUCAUCGUAAUAAUUUCGCGAUAGCAAUCGCCAUAUCGUUAUGCAUUCCCGCGACCUUCGGUUCCGAUGCGGAAGGUGCUUUGGAAAAAUUUGCAAGAGCCACGACCGACGUCGUAGAUAACGCGCGGCGCGGCGUAGUUGCGUCGCGCAUUGUACAUCGUCCAUCUAUGUAGCUGGUAGUGAAAGCGAAGGACUGACACCGAAAGAAAGCUCUCUUUCUCAUCGAUGACAACAUUUUUUCGAGAAUAAAAUGGAAACCGAUCUCUCUCGAAUCUUCCUUUCCCCUCCCCAUUUCCUCUUCCUCUUUCCGCCUUCCAAGCGUCGUUUCACUUCGAACACCCUGUAUAGGAAACUUUUUUCCCAGAUCCAUACGUGUUGUUUUUAACCGCGUUACGUCGCGCUUUUUGCACAUGUGGAACGGCGCAGGUGACUUCGACGAAACUCCGAUUAACGUGAUCGACAGCGAUUCACUUACCGGACGACAGCCGUGCCGUUAACUUCGUUAACGUCGACGGAACUAUUGAUUUUUCGUUAUUUCGUUGUACGGAGAUAGAAAAAAAAAGGAUUUGGGAGAGGACGAAUUGAAAGUUCAGUAAUAAUAAAGCCGUGAAAUCCGAUUAAACGUUUUAAUAAUAUCGCCCAAUAUUUAAUUUGUAUUAAUAUUAAAUAAUCGAGUAUUAAACGAUUACUAAAUAUCAUGUUAACUAAAUAUUUAAUUAGUGAAACUAUUUUAUUAAAGCUUGGUAGUUAAAUUUUAUUUUUAUUACCAAACUCUUUUCUUUGUUUCUACCACGAAAGAAUUCGAAAAAAAUGGAAUUUGAAAGACAAAAAAUUCUAAGAAAAAGAUAUGAAGUUAGUUAAAUCGAGAUUAAAGUUAAUCUACAUUGAUAGAAGUGGGUAUAAAUUGGAAAGGGGAGGGACGGAAGAUGAAAGAAUUUCGAGAAGAGAACUUUCUGCGGACGAGAGGAAAAACGUAUGCGCCCUGGAAAAGGAGAAAAGAUGCUGCAAUUAAGAAUGUUUCCAAAACGUCAAGCACGUUGGAACUGCAUUGCAGAUAUAAAUAGGCCUCCCACGAGUGAGGCCUUGGAUCAACUUUCCAGGCGAGAUGAAAAAAAAA
This is a long non-coding RNA of Monomorium pharaonis (pharaoh ant), 1419 nucleotides long. RefSeq lists it as uncharacterized. The record is from RefSeq and is a predicted model, not a curated record. The transcript has 2 exons. NCBI's taxonomy places the organism in Eukaryota, Metazoa, Arthropoda, Insecta, Hymenoptera, Formicidae.